CCGGCCCUACGGGGGGCAGCAGUGGGGAAUAUUGCACAAUGGGGGAAACCCUGAUGCAGCGACGCCGCGUGAGUGAAGAAGUAGUUCGGUAUGUAAAGCUCUAUCAGCAGGAACGAGACAAGACGGUACCUGACUAAGAAGCCCCGGCUAACUACGUGCCAGCAGCCGCGGUAAUACGUAGGGGGCAAGCGUUAUCCGGAAUCACUGGGUGUAAAGGGAGCGGAGACGGCUGAGCAAGCCUGAUGUGAAAGGCAGGGGCCCAACCCCUGGAGUGCUUUGGGAACUGUACGGCUGGAGUGCAGGAG
Molecule: ribosomal RNA, 305 nt
Filed under: uncultured bacterium
Lineage: Bacteria
Description: bacterial SSU rRNA
Rfam family: Bacterial small subunit ribosomal RNA
Source: RNAcentral